Molecule: long non-coding RNA, 250 nt
Filed under: Solanum tuberosum (potato)
Lineage: Eukaryota; Viridiplantae; Streptophyta; Magnoliopsida; Solanales; Solanaceae
Description: long non-coding RNA (STUB_LNC008176)
Source: RNAcentral
UUUUCUUAUAUCUUCUUCCUAGAUUAGAAAAUAUUAUCUUUAUUUUUAAUCCGUCAUAGUUUUCAUAUGUUUUUUCAUCUAUUGCGUAUUCUUCCUUAUUCAUUUAUAGAUUGUGUUGAAGUUUAUAUUCUAAACUUUCUAUUUGUAUUUCUAGAUAUAAAAUAGUUUUUCUCUGUGCUAUUAUAGAUUUUUUACAAAUUCCUGCGAAUAUGUUAUUAUUAAGUCUAUUUUGCCUAUGUUCUAAUUCUUG